Molecule: ribosomal RNA, 443 nt
Filed under: uncultured bacterium
Lineage: Bacteria
Description: partial 16S ribosomal RNA
Rfam family: Bacterial small subunit ribosomal RNA
Source: RNAcentral
CCUACGGGUGGCAGCAGUGGGGAAUAUUGGGCAAUGGGCGCAAGCCUGACCCAGCAACGCCGCGUGAAGGAAGAAGGCUUUCGGGUUGUAAACUUCUUUUCUCAGGGACGAAGCAAGUGACGGUACCUGAGGAAUAAGCCACGGCUAACUACGUGCCAGCAGCCGCGGUAAUACGUAGGUGGCAAGCGUUAUCCGGAUUUACUGGGUGUAAAGGGCGUGUAGGCGGGGACGCAAGUCAGAUGUGAAAACCACGGGCUCAACCUGUGGCCUGCAUUUGAAACUGUGUUUCUUGAGUACUGGAGAGGCAGACGGAAUUCCUAGUGUAGCGGUGAAAUGCGUAGAUAUUAGGAGGAACACCAGUGGCGAAGGCGGCUUUCUGGACUGAAACUGACGCUGAGGCACGAAAGCGUGGGGAGCGAACAGGAUUAGAUACCCGGGUAGUC